RNAcentral lists this unclassified non-coding RNA (237 nucleotides) under Hevea brasiliensis (rubber tree). The record is from RNAcentral. Lineage: Eukaryota; Viridiplantae; Streptophyta; Magnoliopsida; Malpighiales; Euphorbiaceae.
GAUGGUCCUCGUGAAUAUUGAGCAUCUUUAUUUGGCACGUCCUCCGGAGAUAUAUCCACAAAAGCGAAUUUAUUCGAAUCCGCCGUUGCAGCUUCAUCUCUGACUUCACCGGAUAGAGUCGUUUCCACUUCAGUUGAAGGGACGUCUAGCGUAACAACAGGUUUGGAUGCAUCAGUUGGUCGGUGAGUAAUAGGUGUGGGUGACGAGGCAGUUUGAGAUGACGGCGAUGCAGCACCA